Molecule: unclassified non-coding RNA, 344 nt
Filed under: soil metagenome
Description: partial contains 5.8S ribosomal RNA, internal transcribed spacer 2, and large subunit ribosomal RNA
Rfam family: 5.8S ribosomal RNA (bases 1-120)
Source: RNAcentral
GAUGAAGAACGUAGUGAAAUGCGAUACGUAAUGUGAAUUGCAGAAUUCAGUGAAUCAUCGAGUCUUUGAACGCACAUUGCGCCCACUGGUAUUCCGGUGGGCAUGCCUGUUCGAGCGUCAUUAUCCUCCCUCAAACCCCGGGUUUGGUGUUGGACCCAAGUUGUGUGAACAACUGGUCUCAAAGACAAUGACGGCGUCCGUGGGACCCUCGGUGCAACGAGCUUUUAGGAGCACGCAUCGAGUUGCAAGGACCUUCCGGGCCGGUCUCCUUUACCAUUUUACAAGGUUGACCUCGGAUCAGGUAGGAAUACCCGCUGAACUUAAGCAUAUCAAUAAGCGGAGGA